CCGAUGGCGACCGGCGCACGGGUGAGUAACACGUAUCCAACCUGCCGUCUACUCUUGGACAGCCUUCUGAAAGGAAGAUUAAUACAAGAUGGCAUCAUGAGUCCGCAUGUUCACAUGAUUAAAGGUAUUCCGGUAGACGAUGGGGAUGCGUUCCAUUAGAUAGUAGGCGGGGUAACGGCCCACCUAGCCUUCGAUGGAUAGGGGUUCUGAGAGGAAGGUCCCCCACAUUGGAACUGAGACACGGUCCAAACUCCUACGGGAUGCAGCAGUGAGGAAUAUUGGUCAAUGGGCGAGGGCCUGAACCAGCCAAGUAGCGUGAAGGAUGACUGCCCUAUGGGUCGUAAACUUCUUUUAUAUGGGAAUAAAGUUUUCCACGUGUGGAAUUUUGUAUGUACCAUAUGAAUAAGGAUCGGCUAACUCCGUGCCAGCAGCCGCGGUAAUACGGAGGAUCCGAGCGUUAUCCGGAUUUAUUGGGUUUAAAGGGAGCGUAGGUGGAUUGUUAAGUCAGUUGUGAAAGUUUGCGGCACAACCGUAAAAUUGCAGUUGAAACUGGCAGUCUUGAGUACAGUAGAGGUGGGCGGAAUUCGUGGUGUAGCGGUGAAAUGCUUAGAUAUCACGAAGAACUCCGAUUGCGAAGG
RNAcentral lists this ribosomal RNA (638 nucleotides) under uncultured bacterium. RNAcentral's name for it is "bacterial SSU rRNA". It matches the Rfam family "Bacterial small subunit ribosomal RNA", at positions 85 to 721 of the family's 1533-position model. The record is from RNAcentral.